GGCACUCGGAUUUUUUGAUCGAGGUCAUCGUCGUCUCCGCUCGCCAUUCCUUUUGCAUUCUCCUCCUCCCCCUCCCAAGCUCGUCGUCUCCGCCCACUAAUCCACCAUUUUGGCACCGUCUCUCCCGAGCUCGUCCAGGUGAGGCGAUUAUGUGAUCUGUUCCUAUUUUUCCUCCUCGUUUCUCUGUUGAUCUUUGUUGGAUAUUGAUUUGCAUCUGAAUGAUUUCUCCUCCCUCUUCCUCCGCCACUAGCUUCCUGUCCCCGAGGCCAUUACUAACUGCCGCAGGGCCCGUGCGCCUUCACCGAUUUGACGGCGUGAGAAACCUAGCAGCUCGCGCUCGCACGGGGCCGAUCUGAGAGGUACGGAGAUAUCGGGCACCUCUGAUUUUGCGUCGUCGCAGAUCACACACGCCCCGUCGUUGUUUUCCAAAGGAAACACCGGGCAGCAGAGGAGUGGCUAGGAGCUACUACCUGCGCCAGCGACGAGUCAAGUCAAUUAACCAAAGCAGUUUUCCUCUAGAUUCACGUAGGCUCGAUCGAUGGUCAGGCACGAGGAGGGGUAUGACUUGACUCUGUUUGGGACUGUUUUGAUCGUCACAGAUCGCAAAUUGGCAAUAAAAAGGCCGGAUUGUUUGUAGUGAUGCGCGCACCACGAGCUUGGACCUUUUGAACAUUUCUGAACCAUAAACUAAAGAAUAGCAUGUGCGUCCAGGCAUCCCUAGUACUGGAGGCAGCUCCUGAUAAGUAAUAUUACAUUGAACGAGAGAUUCCCUUGUACCAAGAUCUGCCCAUUCAUGCUUCACAGCUAUAUUAUUUUGUCCUAUGAUAAUAAAGUUCUUAUUUUUCAAUAAAGAAGUAGCAGCCAGAGAUCUACAAGAUCGUGUAAAGAAAGAAGAAAGGGUGAGAGUUUUGCCUGCAAGGUCGCGUGUAGCCAAUAAAAAACCAGAAGGACAAUUUUUUUGGAAUAAGAUGAGCUAGGUGCUUCAUCUGCCUCUAUGAUACAGGUUCUAUUCUCCUUUCCAUGUAAUUAUGUUCCAAAAGUAAUUAAUCUAGAGCAACCUAAACUAUGCAUGUAUUGUAAUUCUGAGCAUACGUUGCUGUCCUCAAUUCUGUGAGCGGCUUGCUUCACAGUACAUGCAUCUUCUAAAUUUCUUUGUAUAUACGCGCCUAUGAUGCGCACACUUCUCUAUGGCCGUGGCAAGUGGCCGUACUGAGCAGACAAUGGA
RNAcentral lists this long non-coding RNA (1225 nucleotides) under Setaria italica (foxtail millet). Its description in RNAcentral is "long non-coding RNA (SITA_LNC001469)". The record is from RNAcentral. Lineage: Eukaryota; Viridiplantae; Streptophyta; Magnoliopsida; Poales; Poaceae.